Molecule: RNA transcript, 7731 nt
Organism: Sander lucioperca (pikeperch)
Lineage: Eukaryota; Metazoa; Chordata; Actinopteri; Perciformes; Percidae
Gene: rimbp2b
Gene name: RIMS binding protein 2
Exons: 31
Source: RefSeq, a predicted model, not a curated record
GUCUCUUCUGCAGUGGUUUGGGAGAACGCUGGCCUGGAUGACCCAGUGGAAACUGUAGUGUAACUAAUGACCGGCCCACUGGACGUUUUAAUUGCUGCCUCAUUUCUGCUGGAGCCUGGCUUAUCCUGCAUCUGAGAUAUUUAUAAUCUGAACAUGCUGGAGUUAUGACAUCAUCCGGCACUGCUGACUAUGACAAGCGUUUGGGGAAGCAUGCAAACCGUUCUGUCAUGGGGACAAUGGGUUGUCAGAAGACUUGCAAGAUGGAGAAACUCCUGAAACAGUCGCAGUGGGAAGUAGCGUGGAGCCAGAGACAACGGUUAGCCACAACAAAGAAGAACAGCCGGAUUAGAGGCACAGAUAAGCUGAGAAAUGAAGUUUUGCCCCUCCAGCUCCCAGGUGUGCAGCGUUUGGACAGCUUUCGUCUUCUAAAGGACAACAGUGGAGCUCUAAGACUCAACCCUGAGACCCUGAGCCACCAAAGGCAGAAGCAGAAGUUACUGGAGACUGAGAUCAGCACCAGAAGAAAGGAGUGUGAAGCACUUGAAGCGGAGGUGAAGAAAAAGAAUCAAACAUGUCAGACUUUGGAGAAUGAGCUUCAAGAUUUCCUCCAGGAGAACAAACAUUUGAACCUCCAGUUCUUCAACAAUAGCCACAAGACAUCUGAGUAUGAGAAGGUGAAGUCUGAGUAUGCCCAGCUCAAAGAGACCCUUGGUGCUGUGACGCAGGAGAGAGAUUUAGCCCUGUGGGAGAGGAACCAGCUCCAAGGCAAACUGGAGAACCUAGAGCAGGUGCUCAAGCAUAUGCGCGAGGCUGCAGAGCGGAGGCAGCAGCUAGAGUUGGAGCAUGAGCAGGCCUUGGCUGUACUCAAUGCCAAGCAGCAGGAGAUUGAAGUUCUUCAGAAGGCUCAGGUUGAGGCAAAAAAGGAACAUGAAGGCGCUGUCCAUCUGUUAGAGAACCACUUGGACAGCAUGCAGGCCAAGGUCCGCGAGCUGGAGGAAAAAUGUCGGUCUCAGAGUGAGCAGUUCAACCUCCUGUCAAAAGAGCUGGAGAAGUUCCGGCUCCAGGCUGGGAAGUUUGAUAUCCUCAGCACUGAACCCCUAACUCUAUGUGAAUCUCCUGGGUCGCCCAACAAAUCCCUCUCACAGCUCCUUAAUGGACUGGCUGCCCCCAUAGGAAAAGGCAAUGAGGCUCCAACAAGCAGAUCUUUGAUAUCUGAGUUCAUUCGACCACUCCAGAUCAGCGGAGACAAGCCUGAGCUCCUCUCUGUCAAGCCAACAUUCCUCACUCGUGGCCGAGUCAGCAGCCCAGCACGGGCUUCCCACUCUGAGAUGGACAAAGAGCUCAGCUCAACUACCAGGUCCAAACUGAGGUUUACGGGGAAGGUUCGUCUGUGUAUUGCUCGGUACAGUUACAAUCCUUAUGACGGGCCUAAUGAGCAUCCUGAGGCAGAGCUCCCCCUGGUGGCAGGGAAGUACCUCUACGUUUACGGGACGAUGGAUGAGGAUGGCUUUUACGAAGGAGAGCUGCUAGAUGGACAGCGGGGACUCGUCCCAUCCAAUUUUGUGGAAUUUGUCCAAGAUGCGGAGACACCCUCCGCCCAACAUAGGGACACAGUGGCUAAAGAACCUGGCUACCUCAACCACAGUAGCCUGGGGCCUCAGAGACUGAAAUUCGGCACAGGAACGGGAACGAGCAUAAGCAGCCUGCUAUCGGACAGUAAACUAGACUGUCUAAGCACCAGCAGCUUGGGCAUGGACCUCCUGGGCUCCUCCAGCAACGGGACAGGAACCUUGGAUGUCAGCACUGACGAGGUCGGUGAAGACAUUGUGCCUUAUCCCCGCCGCAUCAACCUGAUUAAACAACUGGCCAAGAGUGUGAUUAUUGGCUGGGAUCCUCCUGUGGUCCCACCGGGCUGGGGCUCCAUCAGUGGCUACAAUGUCUUGGUGGAUAAGGAGGUGCGCAUGAGUGUCCCCUACGGGGGCAGGACAAAGUCUCUUCUUGAAAAGCUCAAUCUGGCCACCAACACCUACCGUAUCUCAGUGCAGAGCAUCACCGACCGGGGCCCGUCGGACGAGCUCCGGUGCACUCUGCUCGUGGGAAAGGACGUGGUGGUGGCACCUUACUACCUGCGGGUGGACAGCAUCACGCAGGUCUCUGCUGAGCUCUCUUGGAUGCCCAGCAACAGCAACUACAGUCACACCAUCUUCCUCAAUGGUGCAGAGUACGACAUGGUCAAGGCGGGGGGCUAUAAGUACAAGUUCCUCAACCUGAAGUCCAUGACAGUUUACAAGGUGAAGGUUGUGGCGCAGCCGCAUCAGGUGCCUUGGCAGCUUCCGAUGGGUCAAAGGGACAAGAGGGAAAUCUCUGUGGAGUUCUGCACUCAGCCUGCAGUGUGUGUGUUGUGCUCCUCAGGGCCCCCUCUCCCUCCCCAGGAGGUGCAGGUCCAGUGUGGUCAGACGCCGGGGGUCCUGCAGGUCAGAUGGAAGCCGCCGCCUCUGACGUCUUCAGGAACCUCCAACGGUGCCAGUGUAAUUGGCUAUGCCGUGUGCACAAAGGGACAAAAGAUAGCAGAGGUAUUAUACCCCACAGCAGACUAUACGACUGUGGAGUUAAACAGGAUCCAAUGUCUGGAGGCCAGGGAACUCAUUGUAAGGACGUUAUCAACACAAGGAGAGUCCCAGGACUCGCCCGUGGCCGUCAUCCCGCACAAUCUCUUGGGCUCUCCACGCCUCUCCCACCGAACCAUUGCACCUUCCCACACUAUGGCGCUCCCGCAGUCCCAUCCAGUACACUCACAAACCCAUCCUCCUUAUCCGUCGACGUAUCCCUUGAAUCAUCCUCAGCCCCAGGUGCAGCCUCUGCCUCGAACCCAGCCCCACACGCUGCCCCACACACAGCCGCACUCGCAGCCCGUCUGCCAACCCCCUUCUCAUUCCCAGCCUCAUUUCCAGUGCCACCCCAUGCCCCAGUCCAAACCGUUAGUAAGUGCCAGAGAGCCCGAAACCAAAGAGCAUGAGGUGGGAUUGCGGACAGCCCAGCCCUGGGAGCGAUCCCCCUCUCCGCUGCCUCCCAUGCGUGGACCCAACCUGGAGCCGCCGCAUUUCCAGCCACGGCGAUCGCCCUCUCCUCAGAGGAUCCUGCCACAGCCUCAGGGAGUCCCCAUCCCCAACACCAUCGCCAAGGCCAUGGCCAGGGAAGCUGCCCAGAGAGUGUUUGCCGAGGGCAACCAGGUUGAGAAAAGGAACAUCUUUAGCGAGCGCGGUAACGCCUUGCAUCCACUCAACUCUGACGAGGAGGAGGAUGGCUACGACUCUCCUCAUGCGAGGAGAAGAGGAGCCUCGGUGGAUGAAUUCCUCAGAGGCUCAGAGUUGGGCAGACAGCACCAUCAUCCCCACUACAGCCACAGUGAGGAGUACCACACGGAGAGUAGCCGGGGUUCGGACCUGUCCGACAUAAUGGAGGAAGAUGAGGAAGAUCUUUACUCUGAGAUGCAACUGGAGGAGGGCCGUAGGCGCAGUAUCAACUCUCACAACACUCUUAAGGCAUAUUACAAGCGUCAGGACUUAGCCGAGGAAAGAGACUGCUGGGACCUCCAGAGGGAGGUGGUGAAGCAGAAGUCGCUUCGCAGCAAGCGUCUCCACAGCAUCCCUGAGGUGGCCGAGGAAGACUCGGACUGCGUGGACAGCAUGGGCCAGCGACUGUGUUUCGAAGAGGGCGGCCGGCCGGGAACGCCGCACACUCAGUGGAGGACGUACCCCCAGGACACCCACAUGCACAACCAUCACACCCCUGGCAAGAACUCCCGCUACCUGCAGCGUCAGCGCUCCUCCCCUCGCUUCACUGACAGCCGCUACUGCUACAACGCAGACGACCGCAGCUUGGUACGACCCAACCGCCAGAGCACCAAGAGUCCUGACAGUGGUUUAGACUGUGGCAGUGAGGAAGAAGGCUCUCUAGGCCGGGGUUAUCGAGGGUACUAUACUCACGGUAGCCCCAUGCGGGGGCACGUGCAGGUCAUUCACUGUGAAGGUCCGGUAGAAAGGCGGGCGCUGGCUAUGGGCCGUAAAAGAACUCUGACCCGCCAGUGCAGCAUAGAGGAGGAGUUCUCUGACAUCCCAGGGACUGCAGCCAAGUCGGUACACACAGGUGACUUUAGGAACAGGGAGCACUUUGGGCCUGGUCGGGAGGCCGGUCAGCGAAACUACCCCAGGGAAGGGGCCCUGAGCGAGGGCAGGCUCAACGAGCUGGACAGGGUCUAUUACAGCCCCCACAGGGAGGCUAGGGCCCAGUCUUUGUCCAGGCUCAACCGGGACCAGCCGCUGAUCAUUGGGAACUCAGCAUCACAUGGAAGCGCUGAUCGCCUGGAGCACUCAGGGAGGAGGCCGGUUCACAUCGGCAACCCCCCUCAGCAACGGCCCAUCCCAUCCAUUGAGAUCACCAUGGACAGUAACAGUGAGGGGAGUGAGGGGAACCUCUCACCCGUCAAGGAGGAUGUUUACUAUGGCAGUGUAGCUCGGCGCAGGAUAUGGCGAUCUAUGUCCUCAGAGGAUCAAUAUGACGGCUAUGGCGGGCGCAGGCACGGGCGGGGACGGCGCUCCCCGGAGUACUAUGAGGAGUCUGAGCCGGAGGAGAUGACCCGUGUGUUCGUGGCUCUGUUCGACUAUGACCCCAUGUCUAUGUCUCCCAACCCCGACGCUGCUGAUGAGGAGCUGCCAUUCAAGGAGGGCCAGAUCAUCAAGGUCUUUGGGAAUAAAGAUACAGAUGGCUUCUACAGGGCGGAGGUCCGAGACCGCGUGGGUCUGAUCCCCUGUAACAUGGUCUCUGAGAUCCAAACAGAGGAUGACGACAUGAUGGACCAGCUCCUCAAACAGGGCUUCCUGCCACUCAACACUCCUGUGGAGAAGUUAGUGAACUGUGACCGUUUCAAAGAUGGCCGCUCAAUAAAUCGCAGGUCCAGAAAGUCCAAGAGAGAGAGGAACAGGCGGAGUGGCCGCCAACAUCCAAUGUCCACACGGAGGAUGGUGGCUCUGUACGACUAUGACCCCCGAGAGAGCUCCCCUAACGUUGAUGUAGAGUAUGAGGGCAACAGACUGAAUGAGGAGGCUGAACUGACUUUCUGUGCCGGUGACGUCAUCACAGUUUUUGGUGAAAUAGAUGAAGAUGGCUUUUACUAUGGCGAGCUCAAUGGACACAAGGGACUUGUUCCUUCCAACUUUCUAGAAGAAGUGCCUGAUGAUGUAGAGGUUUUUCUCACUGACUCACCAUCUCGAUACCCCCAGGACACUCGGGUGUCGGCUGCACGGAUAAAGACCAAAAGGAAGAAGAGUGUUCAUUUCACACCUUAAAGGCUCUGUUUCCGUCACGUAAGUGAGCAACUGAGGAUACCAAGAUUACGCUCCCCUCGUCUAAUGCAGAUGACAUGGGUACCCUUAGCUUCUGGUUCCACUGGAAAAAUCGGGUCCGCCCAGAAGAGCAGGCUCUCCCACAGUGCGUCCACACAUCCCCGGCUCUGGCCCUGCCACCGUGGGGCCCGGCCGUCUCAUCAGGGCCCCACCGGACAUGUACUCCUCCAAAAAGAAAAAGGGACUGCUCUCCAAAGGGAAGACACUAUUGCAAAGACUCGGCGCUGUAAAAUAAUUUCUUGACAUACUUGGAAAGUGUCAACCACUUCCUUGUAGUGUUAAAAGAAAAUGAAAAAAAUAUAUAUAAAUAUAACAGUGGACAGGUGGCAUUUGUGAGCUUAGCAAAUGCUUUAUUCUUGUACAUCUGUUGUCUACUAGAACAUUUGUAUUUUGUUAACAGUAUCAACUACAUAUUUUCAAUAACAUUUCAUAUUAUGAUCCCGAGACCUCGUGGUGUCGGCCGAUGUAGUAUCGAGCAUCUUACCUCCAAGUCUCUGACUGAUGUUUUGCUGUAGACAGAGACGAGGCCCGGGGCAUUCUCCUUGUUGCACCUGAUCAAGUCUGAUGGCACUUAAAACACCACAUAAGGAGCGUGACCAGUGUCUCUGUGUACAGAAUGUCAUUCAAACACUGAGGGAUCAUCAAAUAAACAUUUCCAAGUCCAUUUUGAAUCUGAAGAAAGAGAUAGGGCCUGGUAAAGACCUCGACCUGAGCUUAUUUCAAACAGCCAGCCACAUAAACUGUACAAGAGGUUUGCAUGCUUUACUUCAGCACAUUCCCUCCUGGCCCCUUGAGAGUGCAUGCAAUGUGACGGCUCAGUACGGAACCCAGAGCAUGCAGUACUUUAAUACGACGUGGCUGACUGGCUGCGCAGUAUACUGUAGUGUAACACAUCAGCAGCAUUAACUCCUACUCAUCUGCCCUAUCUUAAUUGUGAGAGACAAGUCUCCCCCCCCCCAACAUGUCAGACAUCUAAAAAAAACAAGCACAUACCGUACCUACUACAGGGUCUCUGCAUUAAAAUCAGCCUGAAUGGAAGUAGAUCCAACCUCCGUGUAUUUGCCUUAUAAUCGCACAAUGGUUAGUACUUUGCCCAGUAGAGCGUGCAGUUCCAUGCCUACUAUUCAUUUAUGUGGGUAAAAUCUGUUUGCAGAUGUUAAUCCUGACUUGUGAUGUGCAGGGUACUGUAUUGCGUGACUGUCGUGAUUUCAAUAGGACAAGAGCUUACACAUUACAGUCCAAGACUCCAGGUGUUGACAAUGUCCAUCGUCUAUGGUAACGCCCAAUACAUUAUUUUUAAUCUUAGAAAACAAUGAAAAAAAGUCAAAAUGUUCUCUGCAUACUAAUUGUUAAGGCUAAGUAACGAAGGGACUUUUCUUUUAAGUUCACUGUUUUUUGAUGCCACACUGAUGCACAUCUAAUUUAAAACUAUAUUACAUAAACAGAUUAAAAACAGGUAAUCUGUGAGAUAUAGUGUUGCAUAUGAUUCAUAACAUGCAACACUUUUGGGCUUCACUAGAAGACUAAAGGUUUGACUGUUUUCACAGUAGUUAAGAUUGAGACACAAGGCUACCUCUACGCUGCCUCCUCUGCCCUUCUAACCCAAAAUCUAUUAGAUCUGAAAAAUGUUUAUUCAAGCCAAUCGGUUAUUUAUGCCUGUUCAGCGUGUCCCGAGUUAGGUUGGUGCAGGAUACAAGUACUGUAUAUGAAUAUAUAUAUAUAUCUACACCUUAAUGUAGAGUAGUGAAUGUAUGAUGAAUUGAAAGCCAAUGUAUUGUCAAAGCUGCCCAAAAGGAUUGUGCAGAUGUCCCGUCUUUGUGCGUGAAAUUAAACAGUCCACCUUUAUUUCCUCACACCAUUGUUUUCCAUUUCAUCAUGUAUUCGAAAAGCUAGCCUAUUUUUUCUAAACACGAGUUGAACUGAAACUGCCAAAAAAGAAUGUAUGCAAAACAUUCUGUAAUACUUUCUGUACAAUUCUCGGCCGAACAGCCAUGUUAACCCACAGUACAGUAAACUGAUGGACAUCUUUUCCUAUUUCUGGACCAUGUUUUCAGACAUCGCUUCUAUUCAUUUUGAGUGACUGUUGCUCUUUUUGUACUUUGUCCAUUUGUAAAAUUGUUUUUAAAUGUUUAUACUUGAUUUUCAAACUGCCUUUUUUGUACAUUUAACUUUAUAAUCAAACAGUGCAAGCUUUCCCCAUGGUGUCUUGAAGACCAUAUUGUUUAAAAGUCUGCAAUUGUGUGCUAGCUUUAUGAUAAGAAUUAUCAGCCUAUAUUGAUGGUUACAACUUAUUGUGUGGGUGUGCAUGUGCAAUCUUUUCUAAAAAAAA